GAUGAACGCUGGCGGUGUGCCUAAUACAUGCAAGUCGAGCGAACAGACGAGGAGCUUACUCCUCUGACGUUAGCGGCGGACGGGUGAGUAACACGUGGAUAACCUACCUAUAAGACUGGGAUAACUUCGGGAAACCGGAGCUAAUACCGGAUAACAUGUUGAACCGCAUGGUUCAACAGUGAAAGACGGUCUUGCUGUCACUUAUAGAUGGAUCCGCGUCGCAUUAGCUAGUUGGUAAGGUAACGGCUUACCAAGGCAACGAUGCGUAGCCGACCUGAGAGGGGGAUGGGCCACCGGGGAACGGAGACACGGCCCAGACCCCCAGGGGGGGCAGAAGGGGGAAACUUCCCCAAGGGGGGGAAACCCGACGGGGGAAACCCCGGGGAGGGAAAAAGGUUUUUGGAACCGAAAAACUCUUUUUUUGGGAAAAAAAAAAGGGGAAAGAAACUUGCACCGUUUGGAGGGACCCAAACAAAAAAGCCCGGGGAACCCCGGG
This 496-nucleotide ribosomal RNA is filed under the name uncultured bacterium. RNAcentral's name for it is "partial 16S ribosomal RNA". It matches the Rfam family "Bacterial small subunit ribosomal RNA", at positions 28 to 507 of the family's 1533-position model. The record is from RNAcentral.